AAUUUAGAAACUUAGAUUGACACAGUGUACUAGUGGAUUGAAUCAGAGUUCGCAGUGGAAGCUUAGUGGUCUGAAUUGUUUUUAAGUCGAUAGAACAAUAAAUUGAUUGAAGAAUAUUAUGAUGAAAGAUUAAAUCUUAAAUUUUAAAAAUUGAUUAUGAUUUGAGAAAAAAAAAGUGAUCCUGAAUUCUAAAUAUUUGAGCAAGAAAAAAAUUUCAAAGGCAAAAUUUUUUUUUAGGAGGAA
Molecule: long non-coding RNA, 243 nt
Filed under: Elaeis guineensis (African oil palm)
Lineage: Eukaryota; Viridiplantae; Streptophyta; Magnoliopsida; Arecales; Arecaceae
Description: long non-coding RNA (EGUI_LNC075262)
Source: RNAcentral